This 310-nucleotide long non-coding RNA is filed under the name Salvia miltiorrhiza (redroot sage). RNAcentral's name for it is "long non-coding RNA (SMIL_LNC002427)". Lineage: Eukaryota; Viridiplantae; Streptophyta; Magnoliopsida; Lamiales; Lamiaceae. The record is from RNAcentral.
GAAUAUAUUACAACAUCGAUGAGGGAUUAAGCUUGAAGAUAGAUAUCACACAAUUUAAGUAGAUUAAUUUACAUCCCAUGGGCACUAGCGGAAACAAGACUAAAAUACAACUAUUCUCCCAACAUAUAUUUGGGUUUAAUUGCUAAGCAAAACAUAAUAAGUUUAUAGCCCAAAAGACGUGCGACGGACAUGUUCAACAAAAGAGGUACAUAUAUGAGGCCUUUUACAUAUUUUAUAGCAUUUGUAGAAUCUGGCAAAAAGAAAACUCCGCUGCACAACACACCUGCUUUCCAUUCCCUCUCAACCUGCA